GAUGAACGCUGGCGGCGUGCCUUAAGCAUGCAAGUCGAACGGAAAAAUGGUUGUCGCAAGAUAAUUGUUAAUUAGUGGCGGACGGGUGAGUAACACGUGGGCAACCUGCCCUACAGAUUGGGAUAACUCAGGGAAACCUGGGCUAAUACCGGAUAAUCCUUCGAAUCACAUGUUUUGAAGUUGAAAGGCGCUUCGGCGUCACUGUAGGAUGGGCCCGCGGUGCAUUAGCUAGUUGGUGGGGUAACGGCCUACCAAGGCAACGAUGCAUAGCCGACCUGAGAGGGUGAUCGGCCACAUUGGGACUGAGACACGGCCCAAACUCCUACGGGAGGCAGCAGUAGGGAAUCUUCCACAAUGGACGAAAGUCUGAUGGAGCAACGCCGCGUGAGUGAUGAAGGUUUUCGGAUCGUAAAACUCUGUUGUAAGGGAAGAACAAGUACGUUAGGAAAUGAACGUACCUUGACGGUACCUUAUUAGAAAGCCACGGCUAACUACGUGCCAGCCGCCGCCGUAA
Molecule: ribosomal RNA, 514 nt
Filed under: uncultured bacterium
Lineage: Bacteria
Description: partial 16S ribosomal RNA
Rfam family: Bacterial small subunit ribosomal RNA
Source: RNAcentral